CAAGUCGUACGCUUCUUUUUCCCCGGAGCUUGCUCCACCGGAAAAAGAAGAGUGGCGAACGGGUGAGUAACACGUGGGUAACCUGCCCAUCAGAAGGGGAUAACACUUGGAAACAGGUGCUAAUACCGUAUAACAAUCGAAACCGCAUGGUUUUGAUUUGAAAGGCGCUUUCGGGUGUCGCUGAUGGAUGGACCCGCGGUGCAUUAGCUAGUUGGUGAGGUAACGGCUCACCAAGGCUACGAUGCAUAGCCGACCUGAGAGGGUGAUCGGCCACAUUGGGACUGAGACACGGCCCAAACUCCUACGGGAGGCAGCAGUAGGGAAUCUUCGGCAAUGGACGAAAGUCUGACCGAGCAACGCCGCGUGAGUGAAGAAGGUUUUCGGAUCGUAAAACUCUGUUGUUAGAGAAGAACAAGGAUGAGAGUAACUGUUCAUCCCUUGACGGUAUCUAACCAGAAAGCCACGGCUAACUACGUGCCAGCAGCCGCGGUAAUACGUAGGUGGCAAGCGUUGUCCGGAUUUAUUGGGCGUAAAGCGAGCGCAGGCGGUUUCUUAAGUCUGAUGUGAAAGCCCCCGGCUCAACCGGGGAGGGUCAUUGGAAACUGGGAGACUUGAGUGCAGAAGAGGAGAGUGGAAUUCCAUGUGUAGCGGUGAAAUGCGUAGAUAUAUGGAGGAACACCAGUGGCGAAGGCGGCUCUCUGGUCUGUAACUGACGCUGAGGCUCGAAAGCGUGGGGAGCAAACAGGAUUAGAUACCCUGGUAGUCCACGCCGUAAACGAUGAGUGCUAAGUGUUGGAGGGUUUCCGCCCUUCAGUGCUGCAGCUAACGCAUUAAGCACUCCGCCUGGGGAGUACGACCGCAAGGUUGAAACUCAAAGGAAUUGACGGGGGCCCGCACAAGCGGUGGAGCAUGUGGUUUAAUUCGAAGCAACGCGAAGAACCUUACCAGGUCUUGACAUCCUUUGACCACUCUAGAGAUAGAGCUUCCCCUUCGGGGGCAAAGUGACAGGUGGUGCAUGGUUGUCGUCAGCUCGUGUCGUGAGAUGUUGGGUUAAGUCCCGCAACGAGCGCAACCCUUAUUGUUAGUUGCCAUCAUUCAGUUGGGCACUCUAGCAAGACUGCCGGUGACAAACCGGAGGAAGGUGGGGAUGACGUCAAAUCAUCAUGCCCCUUAUGACCUGGGCUACACACGUGCUACAAUGGGAAGUACAACGAGUCGCGAAGUCGCGAGGCUAAGCUAAUCUCUUAAAGCUUCUCUCAGUUCGGAUUGUAGGCUGCAACUCGCCUACAUGAAGCCGGAAUCGCUAGUAAUCGCGGAUCAGCACGCCGCGGUGAAUACGUUCCCGGGCCUUGUACACACCGCCCGUCACACCACGAGAGUUUGUAACACCCGAAGUCGGUGAG
RNAcentral lists this ribosomal RNA (1403 nucleotides) under Enterococcus durans. RNAcentral describes it as "bacterial SSU rRNA". It matches the Rfam family "Bacterial small subunit ribosomal RNA", at positions 58 to 1434 of the family's 1533-position model. The record is from RNAcentral. Lineage: Bacteria; Bacillati; Bacillota; Bacilli; Lactobacillales; Enterococcaceae.